GUUAAGCGACUAAGCGUACACGGUGGAUGCCCUGGCAGUCAGAGGCGAUGAAGGACGUGCUAAUCUGCGAUAAGCGUCGGUAAGGUGAUAUGAACCGUUAUAACCGGCGAUUUCCGAAUGGGGAAACCCAGUGUGUUUCGACACACUAUCAUUAACUGAAUCCAUAGGUUAAUGAGGCGAACCGGGGGAACUGAAACAUCUAAGUACCCCGAGGAAAAGAAAUCAACCGAGAUUCCCCCAGUAGCGGCGAGCGAACGGGGAGCAGCCCAGAGCCUGAAUCAGUGUGUGUGUUAGUGGAAGCGUCUGGAAAGGCGCGCGAUACAGGGUGACAGCCCCGUACACAAAAAUGCACAUGCUGUGAGCUCGAUGAGUAGGGCGGGACACGUGGUAUCCUGUCUGAAUAUGGGGGGACCAUCCUCCAAGGCUAAAUACUCCUGACUGACCGAUAGUGAACCAGUACCGUGAGGGAAAGGCGAAAAGAACCCCGGCGAGGGGAGUGAAAAAGAACCUGAAACCGUGUACGUACAAGCAGUGGGAGCACGCUUCGGCGUGUGACUGCGUACCUUUUGUAUAAUGGGUCAGCGACUUAUAUUCUGUAGCAAGGUUAACCGAAUAGGGGAGCCGAAGGGAAACCGAGUCUUAACUGGGCGUUAAGUUGCAGGGUAUAGACCCGAAACCCGGUGAUCUAGCCAUGGGCAGGUUGAAGGUUGGGUAACACUAACUGGAGGACCGAACCGACUAAUGUUGAAAAAUUAGCGGAUGACUUGUGGCUGGGGGUGAAAGGCCAAUCAAACCGGGAGAUAGCUGGUUCUCCCCGAAAGCUAUUUAGGUAGCGCCUCGUGAAUUCAUCUCCGGGGGUAGAGCACUGUUUCGGCAAGGGGGUCAUCCCGACUUACCAACCCGAUGCAAACUGCGAAUACCGGAGAAUGUUAUCACGGGAGACACACGGCGGGUGCUAACGUCCGUCGUGAAGAGGGAAACAACCCAGACCGCCAGCUAAGGUCCCAAAGUCAUGGUUAAGUGGGAAACGAUGUGGGAAGGCCCAGACAGCCAGGAUGUUGGCUUAGAAGCAGCCAUCAUUUAAAGAAAGCGUAAUAGCUCACUGGUCGAGUCGGCCUGCGCGGAAGAUGUAACGGGGCUAAACCAUGCACCGAAGCUGCGGCAGCGACGCUUAUGCGUUGUUGGGUAGGGGAGCGUUCUGUAAGCCUGUGAAGGUGUGCUGUGAGGCAUGCUGGAGGUAUCAGAAGUGCGAAUGCUGACAUAAGUAACGAUAAAGCGGGUGAAAAGCCCGCUCGCCGGAAGACCAAGGGUUCCUGUCCAACGUUAAUCGGGGCAGGGUGAGUCGACCCCUAAGGCGAGGCCGAAAGGCGUAGUCGAUGGGAAACAGGUUAAUAUUCCUGUACUUGGUGUUACUGCGAAGGGGGGACGGAGAAGGCUAUGUUGGCCGGGCGACGGUUGUCCCGGUUUAAGCGUGUAGGCUGGUUU
RNAcentral lists this ribosomal RNA (1485 nucleotides) under Escherichia coli. Its description in RNAcentral is "partial 23S ribosomal RNA". It matches the Rfam family "Bacterial large subunit ribosomal RNA", at positions 1 to 1531 of the family's 2925-position model. The record is from RNAcentral. Lineage: Bacteria; Pseudomonadati; Pseudomonadota; Gammaproteobacteria; Enterobacterales; Enterobacteriaceae.